RNAcentral lists this ribosomal RNA (253 nucleotides) under uncultured bacterium. RNAcentral describes it as "partial 16S ribosomal RNA". It matches the Rfam family "Bacterial small subunit ribosomal RNA", at positions 524 to 776 of the family's 1533-position model. The record is from RNAcentral.
UACGUAGGGUGCGAGCGUUAAUCGGAAUAACUGGGCGUAAAGUGUGCGCAGGCGGCGCCGCAAGUCGAGUGUGAAAGCCCCGGGCUUAACUUGGGAAUUGCGCUCGAAACUAUGGUGCUGGAGUGUGGCAGAGGAAGGUGGAAUUCCACGUGUAGCGGUGAAAUGCGUAGAGAUGUGGAGGAACACCGAUGGCGAAGGCAGCCUUCUGGGCCAACACUGACGCUCAUGCACGAAAGCGUGGGGAGCAAACAGG